Molecule: ribosomal RNA, 457 nt
Filed under: uncultured bacterium
Lineage: Bacteria
Description: bacterial SSU rRNA
Rfam family: Bacterial small subunit ribosomal RNA
Source: RNAcentral
AACGAACGCUGGCGGCAUGCCUAACACAUGCAAGUCGAACGGGAUCCUAGCUUGCUAGGUGAGAGUGGCGGACGGGUGAGUAACACGUGGGAAUCUGCCUUUGGUUCGGGAUAACCGCGGGAAACUGCGGCUAAUACCGAAUGCCCUCGAGAGAGGAAAGAUUUAUCGCCAGAAGAGGAGCCCGCGUCCGAUUAGGUAGUUGGUGGGGUAAAGGCCUACCAAGCCGACGAUCGGUAGCUGGUCUGAGAGGAUGAUCAGCCACACUGGGACUGAGAUACGGCCCAGACUCCUACGGGAGGCAGCAGUGGGGAAUAUUGGACAAUGGGGGGCAACCCUGAUCCAGCAAUGCCGCGUGAGUGAUGAAGGCCUUAGGGUUGUAAGCUCUUUUGCCAGGGAAGAUGAUGACUGUACCUGGAGAAUAAGCCCCGGCUAACUUCGUGCCAGCAGCCGCGGUAAU